RNAcentral lists this long non-coding RNA (205 nucleotides) under Mytilus galloprovincialis (Mediterranean mussel). Lineage: Eukaryota; Metazoa; Mollusca; Bivalvia; Mytilida; Mytilidae. The record is from RNAcentral.
GGCCAGCAGUUAUUUCUUUAAAAGUAUAUAAUAAUGAUGCUUUGUGGUAAUUUUCAUGCUUGUAUCAUCAUUUGCACAAUUCCCUCGAUUUUGCUUGCUAAUAUCUUCCACUAUGAGGACAGGUUGUUCGUAUGGGGUAGUACAAACUCCGUUCAAGCAGAGUUCGCUAUGCAAAUUAGUCAUCACACCAACGACAAACUUUAAG